AUUGAACGCUGGUUGCAUGCCUUACACAUGCAAGUCGAACGGUAACGGGUCCUUCGGGAUGCCGACGAGUGGCGAACGGGUGAGUAAUAUAUCGGAACGUGCCCUGUAGUGGGGGAUAACUGCUCGAAAGAGCAGCUAAUACCGCAUACGACCUGAGGGUGAAAGGGGGGGAUCGCAAGACCUCUCGCUAUUGGAGCGGCCGAUAUCAGAUUAGCUAGUUGGUGGGGUAAAGGCCUACCAAGGCAACGAUCUGUAGUUGGUCUGAGAGGACGACCAGCCACACUGGGACUGAGACACGGCCCAGACUCCUACGGGAGGCAGCAGUGGGGAAUUUUGGACAAUGGGCGCAAGCCUGAUCCAGCAAUGCCGCGUGCAGGAAGAAGGCCUUCGGGUUGUAAACUGCUUUUGUCAGGGAAGAAAUCUUCUGGGCUAAUACCCCGGGAGGAUGACGGUACCUGAAGAAUAAGCACCGGCUAACUACGUGCCAGCAGCCGCGGUAAUACGUAGGGUGCGAGCGUUAAUCGGAAUUACUGGGCGUAAAGCGUGCGCAGGCGGCUUUGCAAGACAGAUGUGAAAUCCCCGGGCUCAACCUGGGAGCUGCAUUUGUGACUGCAAGGCUAGAGUACGGCAGAGGGGGAUGGAAUUCCGCGUGUAGCAGUGAAAUGCGUAGAUAUGCGGAGGAACACCAAUGGCGAAGGCAAUCCCCUGGGCCUGUACUGACGCUCAUGCACGAAAGCGUGGGGAGCAAACAGGAUUAGAUACCCUGGUAGUCCACGUCCUAAACGAUGUCAACUGGUUGUUGGACGGCUUGCUGUUCAGUAACGAAGCUAACGCGUGAAGUUGACCGCCUGGGGAGUACGGCCGCAAGGUUGAAACUCAAAAGAAUUGACGGGGACCCGCACAAGCGGUGGAUGAUGUGGUUUAAUUCGAUGCAACGCGAAAAACCUUACCUACCCUUGACAUGUCAAGAAUUCUGCAGAGAUGUGGAAGUGCUCGAAAGAGAACUUGAACACAGGUGCUGCAUGGCCGUCGUCAGCUCGUGUCGUGAGAUGUUGGGUUAAGUCCCGCAACGAGCGCAACCCUUGUCAUUAGUUGCUACGCAAGAGCACUCUAAUGAGACUGCCGGUGACAAACCGGAGGAAGGUGGGGAUGACGUCAGGUCCUCAUGGCCCUUAUGGGUAGGGCUACACACGUCAUACAAUGGCCGGUACAGAGGGCUGCCAACCCGCGAGGGGGAGCCAAUCCCAGAAAACCGGUCGUAGUCCGGAUCGUAGUCUGCAACUCGACUGCGUGAAGUCGGAAUCGCUAGUAAUCGCGGAUCAGCUUGCCGCGGUGAAUACGUUCCCGGGUCU
This 1352-nucleotide ribosomal RNA is filed under the name uncultured bacterium. Its description in RNAcentral is "bacterial SSU rRNA". It matches the Rfam family "Bacterial small subunit ribosomal RNA", at positions 28 to 1381 of the family's 1533-position model. The record is from RNAcentral.